RNAcentral lists this ribosomal RNA (297 nucleotides) under uncultured bacterium. Its description in RNAcentral is "partial 16S ribosomal RNA". It matches the Rfam family "Bacterial small subunit ribosomal RNA", at positions 475 to 776 of the family's 1533-position model. The record is from RNAcentral.
CUAUGCGCCUUGCCAGCCGCUCAGGUGUGCCAGCCGCCGCGGUAAUACGGAGGAUGCGAGCGUUAUCCGGAUUUAUUGGGUUUAAAGGGUGCGUAGGUGGUUAAUUAAGUCAGCGGUGAAAGUUUGUGGCUCAACCAUAAAAUUGCCGUUGAAACUGGUUGACUUGAGUAUAUUUGAGGUAGGCGGAAUGCGUGGUGUAGCGGUGAAAUGCAUAGAUAUCACGCAGAACUCCGAUUGCGAAGGCAGCUUACUAAACUAUAACUGACACUGAAGCACGAAAGCGUGGGAUCAAACAGG